This 253-nucleotide ribosomal RNA is filed under the name uncultured bacterium. RNAcentral describes it as "partial 16S ribosomal RNA". It matches the Rfam family "Bacterial small subunit ribosomal RNA", at positions 524 to 776 of the family's 1533-position model. The record is from RNAcentral.
UACGAAGGGGGCGAGCGUUGUUCGGAUUUACUGGGCGUAAAGGGCGCGCAGGCGGUCUUGAAAGUCAGGCGUGAAAUUCCCUGGCUUAACUGGGGGCGUGCGGGCGAUACGGGCAGAUUGGAGUACUGCAGGGGAGACUGGAAUUCCUGGUGUAGCGGUGGAAUGCGCAGAUAUCAGGAGGAACACCGAUGGCGAAGGCAGGUCUCUGGGCCAUUACUGACACUGAGAAGCGAAAGCAUGGGGAGCGAACAGG